UUGGCUAGCCUAAUUGCCGAGGAUAAGUCGGCAGAGAUUUCAACGUGGAAUCGGUAGUGAAGCCAGUAAUUGUCAUCGAAUGCUACCCCAGAGCCAAUCCAUAGAGCACUUCGGAAUUCUCUUCUGUAUCAUCACUAAGCACGUUCCCCGUUCACCAAUAUUUACCAUCUCAGUAUUUUCGAAGGGAAAGGAUAGAGUUCCCCAACGUAACGGCGGCAGAGGUGCCUUCCGGUCAAAGCAUAGUUCUUAUCCCUUC
RNAcentral lists this long non-coding RNA (256 nucleotides) under Gossypium barbadense (sea-island cotton). Its description in RNAcentral is "long non-coding RNA (GBAR_LNC005090)". The record is from RNAcentral. Lineage: Eukaryota; Viridiplantae; Streptophyta; Magnoliopsida; Malvales; Malvaceae.